GCCUUGGUGGUUCAGUGGUAAAAUGUUUGCCUUCCAUGCAGGAGGCCCCUGUUCGAUUCCUGGCCAAGGUA
Molecule: transfer RNA, 71 nt
Filed under: Loxodonta africana (African savanna elephant)
Lineage: Eukaryota; Metazoa; Chordata; Mammalia; Proboscidea; Elephantidae
Rfam family: tRNA
About the family: Transfer RNA (tRNA) molecules are approximately 80 nucleotides in length. Their secondary structure includes four short double-helical elements and three loops (D, anti-codon, and T loops). Further hydrogen bonds mediate the characteristic L-shaped molecular structure. tRNAs have two regions of fundamental functional importance: the anti-codon, which is responsible for specific mRNA codon recognition, and the 3' end, to which the tRNAs corresponding amino acid is attached (by aminoacyl-tRNA synthetases). tRNAs cope with the degeneracy of the genetic code in two manners: having more than one tRNA (with a specific anti-codon) for a particular amino acid; and 'wobble' base-pairing, i.e. permitting non-standard base-pairing at the 3rd anti-codon position.
Source: Rfam by way of RNAcentral